UCGGGGCCGCACGCGCGYUACAUUGAAGAAAUCAGCGUGUUCUCUCCCGGUCCGGAAGGAUCGGGUAACCCGUUGAACCUCCUUCGUGCUGGGGAUAGGAGCUUGAAACUGUUCUCCUUGAACGAGGAAUUCCCAGUAAGCGCGAGUCAUGAGCUCGCGUUGAUUACGUCCCUGGCCUUUGUCCACACCGCCCGUCGCUACUAUCGAUUGAAUGAUUUAGUGAGGUCUUCGGACUGGCUCCCGGACUGGCCCAGCGCCGAGCCGGAGUGCCGGAAAGAUGACCGAACUUGACCAUUUAGAGAAAGUAAAAGUCGUAACAAGGUUUCC
RNAcentral lists this ribosomal RNA (327 nucleotides) under Symphytognatha sp. SYMP-008-DR. RNAcentral describes it as "bacterial SSU rRNA". It matches the Rfam family "Eukaryotic small subunit ribosomal RNA", at positions 1500 to 1824 of the family's 1831-position model. The record is from RNAcentral. Lineage: Eukaryota; Metazoa; Arthropoda; Arachnida; Araneae; Symphytognathidae.